UUGUAGAACAGAAAAUAGAUAACAUAACAGAAUAUGUAUAAACAUUGGUAUUCAUUCGAUUCAAUGUCAUACAACAUUUAAAGCUCUUAAAUCAUCAGUGAAAAUACCUUUAAACAAAUAUAUCAGUAAUACAUGAUUUGCCAGUACCCUUCCAAUAAAAACAUAACAAUUUUUCCUUAAUGAAUUUGCAUAUCUAUGAAUAAUAAAAGUUAAAAUCUUAAAAGAAGUCUAAUGAGCUUACUGCGAUGAAUUCAAACAUCACUUAAAAAUCUUUUUGAUAGUUGGUACAAGAAGAUUAAAUGAUUUAUAAUAUGCUACAUAUGUUAAGGUGGUACCUAACACUUUUUCUUAAAUUAAUUUGUCUCGUUUAAUUUUCAUAAAAUUUUGACAAAAUAUUUACUUUGACCCUUUGACAAAAAUAUAAAAAUUUCAAAAAAUUUUAACCAACCAUUUGAUCAGGAUAAUUACACUGGUUAUACAGCAGUUUGACAAACAUUAAUUUUUAUCUUUGAGAAGCUUAAUAUUCUCUUAACAACAUAAAGUGAUUCAAACAUUUAGCUGAUUUUAUAGAGUUAUCUCCCUGUAGUGUUAGGUACCACCUUAAGUUAAAAACAAAUUGCAUGAUAGUCAAUAUAGUAGUCAUGAUUAGAGCUCAUCUUUAUCCUACAUUGUGUAAAGUUGGGCUUUUUAAUAUGUAAUUAAAUGAUGCUUGAUUUUUCAUUCAAUAUUUAAGAUAUGUUAACAUAGUUUGACCAAAUUAAAGCUCCUGCACAAUAAAGUAAAAAGAGUUUCAAUAAAAAAA
This 802-nucleotide long non-coding RNA is filed under the name Mytilus galloprovincialis (Mediterranean mussel). The record is from RNAcentral. Lineage: Eukaryota; Metazoa; Mollusca; Bivalvia; Mytilida; Mytilidae.